AGCAAAGUAGGGCACGCGCGUCAAGUGUCGGCGGAUGGGAAGUCGCCGCCGGACGAAAGACGGCAGUCUGCGGUGCGUGUCCGCGUCCGUUGCG
Regulatory RNA element from Subdoligranulum sp. CAG:314, 94 nucleotides. It matches the Rfam family "THF (Tetrahydrofolate) riboswitch aptamer". From Rfam's summary of the family: THF riboswitch presents a pseudoknot that joins P1-P2 and the loop of P3 and two THF binding. Lineage: Bacteria; Bacillati; Bacillota; Clostridia; Eubacteriales; Oscillospiraceae. The record is from Rfam.